This 460-nucleotide ribosomal RNA is filed under the name uncultured bacterium. RNAcentral's name for it is "partial 16S ribosomal RNA". It matches the Rfam family "Bacterial small subunit ribosomal RNA", at positions 338 to 795 of the family's 1533-position model. The record is from RNAcentral.
CCUACGGGUGGCAGCAGUGAGGAAUAUUGGUCAAUGGCCGAGAGGCUGAACCAGCCAAGUCGCGUGAGGGAAGACGGCCCUACGGGUUGUAAACCUCUUUUGUCGGGGAGCAAAGCGAACCACGUGUGGUUCAUUGCGAGUACCCGAAGAAAAAGCAUCGGCUAACUCCGUGCCAGCAGCCGCGGUAAUACGGAAGGUCCGGGCGUUAUCCGGAUUUAUUGGGUUUAAAGGGAGCGUAGGCCGCAUGUCAAGCGUGCUGUGAAAUGUCCGGGCUCAACCAGGGCCUUGCAGCGCGAACUGGCGGGCUUGAGUCCGCGGAAGGCAGGCGGAAUUCGUGGUGUAGCGGUGAAAUGCUUAGAUAUGACGAAGAACCCCGAUUGCGAAGGCAGCUUGCUGCAGCGGAACUGACGCUGAUGCUCGAAAGCGCGGGUAUCGAACAGGAUUAGAUACCCGUGUAGUC